RNAcentral lists this long non-coding RNA (265 nucleotides) under Astyanax mexicanus (Mexican tetra). RNAcentral's name for it is "lncRNA (ENSAMXG00005008406.1)". Lineage: Eukaryota; Metazoa; Chordata; Actinopteri; Characiformes; Acestrorhamphidae. The record is from RNAcentral.
CUGCGAGUUGGAGCGGACUGGAAUUCCGCUUCCCUUCCGUCCCGAAGUUUCUGCGCGGUGUCAACACACACAGUAGGACUCCUCUGCUGACUCGUCCUGCUGCGCUGAAAGGGAACACGCCUCACAGGACAGGAAGAGGGUGGGAUUGCCAGUCUCUUAAGAAGCAGUGAAUUGUUCCCAGUUCCUGGCCUGCAGCAGCCGUGAGAAGCAGUGUUGUGUUCCCAGCCAUGAGUGUAAUGGAGGGCUUUCCUGUCCACUGAGUGUG